UGCCAGCCGCCGCGGUAAUACGGAAGGUGCAAGCGUUAAUCGGAAUUACUGGGCGUAAAGCGCGCGUAGGUGGUUUAUUAAGUUGGAUGUGAAAUCCCCGGGCUCAACCUAGGAACUGCAUCCAAAACUAACUCACUAGAGUACGAUAGAGGGAGGUAGAAUUCAUAGUGUAGCGGUGGAAUGCGUAGAUAUUAUGAAGAAUACCGGUGGCGAAGGCGGCCUCCUGGAUCUGUACUGACACUGAGGUGCGAAAGCGUGGGUAGCGAACAGGAUUAGAUA
RNAcentral lists this ribosomal RNA (279 nucleotides) under uncultured bacterium. RNAcentral describes it as "partial 16S ribosomal RNA". It matches the Rfam family "Bacterial small subunit ribosomal RNA", at positions 506 to 784 of the family's 1533-position model. The record is from RNAcentral.